UUCAGUUGAAAUGUACGGUUAGCUCGUUGGCUGUUGCUAAUAUUCCAGUAGCUAACGUUAGCUUACAAGCAGCCUUGUUUGAAAUGGUGAAAAACAGUUUGCUAGCUAGUUAGCUAUAUCAUAUAGCAUACUCCUUGGGGAUUUUGAGGGCAUUUGUGCAUUAUGCAACCACUGAGACAAAGCAGAAAUAUACCAAAUAGAUGGUCUUUCUACUACAAAAUCAACUUCUCGACGUAGCAAGUCUUCGACUGACAACAAAUGAAACUGACUCAACAAAUUUUUGGUGAUAACAUUACAGGAAAUCAGUUAAUUAUGGAACAGAAUACAGGUUCAUUAUCCACUCCAUCUGGUGGCACCCUGCUCCCCAGCAACUACAAACUGCUGCAAAGUCUGGGACAGGGAGGCUUUGGACAGGUGGUGAAAUGUCUCAAGACGGACACCAAUGAGACUGUUGCAGUAAAGAUACUGCUACAGCACCAACAAUGAAGUAGGUCCCUUAAUUCAUUAGCAGCUAUUUUUGCUUUCAUUUAAAUUUCAACAAUGGCUUCCCUACCUUUAGUGCUUGAUAACGUGUCAGCUGUGUGUCAACAACUACGGGUCCAUGUCAUUGGUCUGGCAGGCCAUUGGUCGAACAUCCCAUUAGUCGGCUCCCGGUGGGCGUAUUUCUACCUUGAUGGUGCGCCACGACCGGCUCUGGGUCAGCUGGGAAAGGCUUGAGGCGAGGCAGGCUCACGGCUUAUGUGUUUGUCACUUUCUUUUUCAUUUUAACCCACACCAUGAUCUUUUCCUAACCCUAACCAAGUGGUUUUUGUGCCUAAACCUAACCAGACCUAACCACAGGGCAUCAUGAUGAUUUCGGAACAACAGGACUUCGGAACAAUGGGUUUAAUAUGGUCGGACCAAUGGGCUGUCAGACCAAUGGGCUGUCAGACCAAUGGGCAGUUCCCACAACUACGCAUCAAACCAACAUUGUCAAGUUCAUCGACUCAUUCACACUGAGGGACAGCAGAGUUGCUUUGGUUUUCGAGAUGCUGGAAGUGACUCUCAUGGAUUACAUUGCUGUCCAUAGAAGCUACACUCCUAUGGAUUUACAGGAUAUCAGGAGUGUAGUCCAGCAGCUGGCAAUCGCAUUAGACGCCCUGAAGACCAUUGGACUGAUCCACACAGAUAUAAAGGCCGACAACAUAAUGCUGGUGGAUCGAGAAGCACAGCCCCUCAGGGUAAAGCUGAUUGACUUCGGACUGACUCUACAAACCUGGAGGGCUGAGAACGAGCAGGGCAAAUCUCAUCAAACAAUGCACUUAAAAGCUCCAGAAAUGUUCCUGGGACUUCCAUUUUCAGAGGCGAUUGACAUGUGGUUCAAAGGUGUCGUAAUGUCAAUCAUGAUGCUUGCUGCUGUGAUCUUCGUGGGUUUUAGUGAUUAUGAUGUAAUGCGAUGGAUAGUGGCAUUCCGGGGUGUACCCCCAGACCAUCUACUGACGGCUGGGACGAAGUCAAAAAAAAUACUUUGUAAAAGAAGCCUCAGGCCACUGGAGACUUAAGACACCUAAGGAGUAUUGGCAAAGUGCCACACCUCCCUGCAGAUAUCAGCCCUUGACAUUCAGCAGUCUUUGUGUUUUGGAGAUGUUUCCCCUGGAGAACCUGAACAUGGGGGGCCCUGACGAGAAGAGGGAGUGCAUUGACCUGCUGAAGACAAUGCUUCAGAUCGAUCCCAAUGAGAGGAUUACCCUCAGUCAAGUCCUCAGCCAUCCAUUUACUACAAGGGGCACCCUCCACAAAAACUUUGAGUAAGUCACAAAUGAAAGCCCUGGAACACCUUCAGCACCACCAGGUGUUACCUCUGUCCAGCCAUGUGGAUCUUCUUCAGAGACAUUACCCCCAGGUGUUAUGUUGGUGCAGCCUGCACCACCUGAAUGCCGCCUGUGGGGGGUUGACAGUCCAAAAAGCAUGCAGGUUAAUUGGAGACUCUAAAUUGACACUUAAUCUGAUCCUAUUUGAUCUAA
This is a long non-coding RNA of Epinephelus fuscoguttatus (brown-marbled grouper), 2003 nucleotides long. RefSeq lists it as uncharacterized. The record is from RefSeq and is a predicted model, not a curated record. NCBI's taxonomy places the organism in Eukaryota, Metazoa, Chordata, Actinopteri, Perciformes, Serranidae. The transcript has 8 exons.